RNAcentral lists this long non-coding RNA (973 nucleotides) under Mytilus galloprovincialis (Mediterranean mussel). The record is from RNAcentral. Lineage: Eukaryota; Metazoa; Mollusca; Bivalvia; Mytilida; Mytilidae.
CAUGUUGAAAGAAUUGUUUUUUAUUUUCUAUACUUUAUUUUUUUAAGUUAUUAAGCAUGGGUUGAGGAGCUUCUUGGUGUAUGUUUAAUUUUUAUAGGCUGUAUUGCUUAUCUACUUAUAAGAAAAAAAAUCUUCACCAUGUUCACAGAUAACUAUGUUUAACAGUUUAGUUCAUCAGAUACAUUAAAUCUUCACCAUGUUCACAGAUAAGUAUGUUUAACUGUUUAGUUCAUCAGAUACAUUAAAUUUGUCAAGUAUGAAGUUUCCAUCAGGCAAAUAAAAAUUGAAAACAAUUCCAGCAAGAAUAAAAUGAGAAGAUGUCAUUAUAUGAUAGAUUUUUCUGGAAUCUGUAGUAAUUAAUAACAUGCCAAUGAAAUACUUAAAAAACUAAAGAUUUCAUCAUAUAACAUUUUCUAGAAUUUAAUCAUGGCAUUUUUUUGGGGCAGAAAUUUCUUUACAUACUUUUUCUUUCGAUGUAAAGGAUCUUUGUUAAGCAAACAAACUUGAUUCAACAGUAAAGCAAGAUAACUUUCAUUUCCUAGAUUCAAAUAAAACAUUUGUAAAAACAUGCAACUUUGAAUAAAAAGAAUGUUCAGCAAGACAAUUAAAAUAAGCAAAAGAAGAUAUUAACAAUGAUUUUUGUCAGAUUUCCUUCCUUAACCAUCCAAAUGGAAUUAAUAGUAAAACUAUAGGACCAAUGUAGUUACACAUAUUCUAUUAUUAAAUGAAAUGAAAACACAUAAUGGUAAAAACAAAACAAUAGAGCAUUAUGAUCAUGAUGAUGUGUGAAAUGAAGAGAAAGCAUGGUAAUGAAAAGAUUUAUAUUUAAUUUAGUUUUAAGAAAAGAGGAGAUAAAUUAAUUUCACUUUAAUAUGCAUAAAUCUGAUAUUCACUCAGGGAAAAAUAGUAUGUAAAAAAAAAAUGUAAAGGCUAUUUAUAAGUUUUUUAAAUUACAUUUUUUAAACCAUUUAAA